Molecule: long non-coding RNA, 1591 nt
Filed under: Gallus gallus (chicken)
Lineage: Eukaryota; Metazoa; Chordata; Aves; Galliformes; Phasianidae
Source: RNAcentral
CAGCGAUGCUGGGAGAAAAGCAGUCCCAACCAUCAGUGCCUGAUCCUGCUGCUGUUCCUCUUUGAGCACUUCCCAGAGCCUCCUCUAAAAGGGGCAUUAACUGAUGGCAACACCUGAACCUUGGACUCCUUUCAUUCAGCAUUAAGAGCCUUGACAACUACUUGCUAGCUCUGCACAGGAACAUCGUAUUGACUGAGAAGGCUUGACAUGCUCUUCCAGAGCUGGAUAACUGCUGGCACUGCAGCAUUCCAGGGCCAUGUUCAUAGGCAUGCAGAAUAUAUUUCUGUCUUUGGAUAUUUUAGAGUCAGUUGAGCUGCAGUCCUGCAGCAGGAAAGCUGGAGAAUAUGUAUUUUGUCUACUGAGUUUUGCAAUCCUUGGAGCAGAGCACUGCGUACUAUUAAAGGUAAAUGGUUAUUUGCCACAAUAUAGUGACCGUGUGAGAUGAGGCAAGAGGCAAGUGAAGGAGUAGAGAAAGUAAUUUGUCUUAAACGAAACAUUUUGAUUUUUCACCCUCUGUAUACCCAAACCUGUGUGUCUGCAGUAGGGACCCCAUGCCAUGGGCACAGCUAAAUCCUGCCAACAGAAUGUUAUGUGUAGGAUUUCUUGAGGUCUGGUGGUAGAGCCAGACAGAUGGACUGAGAGCCCUGAACAGCAGUCAGUUCUCAGAUCCCACCUUGACAGUGCUUCCAACCAGGAAAGGAGGACAUCCACGUGUAUUCCUGCUGCACAUAAAUGAAGCACGUUGCUUAUGUGAACCCCAGACCCUACGAGUUCCAUAUGGACCUUUAGGCAGGGGGCUGAGGUUUUCAACUGUGAAUUCUCCAGGAGAGGUACUGAUUUAAUCACCAUCUGCACUGAAACGGUAGCAUACAGCAGAUGGAGGCAUUUAACAAUAAAGUUAAAAGCACCUCAUUUAGAGAUGCAUUUUGUUGGCAACUUCAGGUUCCCUGGGGAUCCCUAGCCAUACAGCUGAGCGCUGGGGACUCAUCCCCAAGCAUAAGCCAUGCCUGCGCUAUGCCCUUACUGUGCUGUCCUCACCUGCAGCCUAUAUGAUGCUGGACCUCUGAGAGAGAGCAGGAAAUGAUUUUGAAUAGGCAAAUAGGGGGAAAUCAUUUCGGGGUUGUUGCCCCAAGGGUUGUCAUCUGGAGAAGAGAAUGCUCUGGGGAGACCUCACUGUGGCCUUCCAGUUCCUGAAGGAGGCUUACAAACAGGAAUGGGACCGAUUUUUUUACGCAGUGGGAUUGUGAUAGGACAAGGAGGAAUGGCGGGGAAUUUAGGUUAGAUGUUCAGAGGACUUUCUUCUCUGAGAGGGCUGUGAGGCUCUGGCACUGCUGCCCAGAGAGCUGUGGGUGUCCCAUCCCUGGAGGUGCCCAAGGCCGGGCAGCGCUGAGCUCUGCUCUCUGUGAGGCCCAAGGGAACAGCAUGGAGCUGUCAGGGGAGGGGCAGCUGGGGGUUAGGGAAAGGCUGUGCCCCACAGGGUGGUGGGCAUGGAACAGCCUGCCCAGGGCAGUGGGCACGGCCUGAGCUGUCGGAGUUCAAGGGGUGUUUGGACAGCACUCUCAGACCCAGGGUUUGGAUUUGAGUGGUGCUG